CGAAGGAGGAGACCCAGGACUCGCUGUAUCCGAGCCCCGAGCUUGGGAAUCUCUCAAGCAUCCUGCAUGUUUUCCACAAAUCUGGGGAACCUAAACCCUCAUGGUUCCUGAAGCAGAGAUGGCUGGCAGUCAUCAGCACAGGACCAGGACUGCACCCCACUCCUUCCAUUUGGGAAUAGAAUAUGACGAUGUGACCUUAGAAGAUGGCAGAGCCACACAAUGGAAGGCGUUUGGGUCCUUGAAUCACUGUAUCAACAGAGCCACCCACAGAAUAUGAACAUCCUCCCUGGACUGUCACAAUGAGUGAGGAAAAAACUUUACUGUGUUUGAGCCUUCAUAUAUUUGGGGCCUAUUCACUACUGCAGCUAGUGUUACCUUGAGUCAUUGGUGCCUUGAAUUACGGAACUGCCGUAACAAAAUUCUAAAAUAUGUUAGCAGCUGGGCAAGAGGGAACACGGAACUGUUGGAGCUGGAAAAUGGAUAUCUAUGUUAUGUAGUGACAAAACAUUGGGUAAAUCUGUUGCAUGUCAUUAUGGACUGAAUGUUUGUGGCCUCCCCUAAAUUCAUAUGUUGAAUCCUAACCCUCAAAGUAGUAGUGUCAGGAGGUGGGGCCUUUGGGAAGUGACUAGGUUGUGAGGGUGGAGCCCUCAUGGAUGGGGUUAAUGCCAUUAUAAAAGAGCCCCAGAGAGCUGCCUUGCCCUCUUUCUGUCAUGUGAGGACUGAGUGAGAAGGAUCCAUCUAUAAAUCAGAAACAGGGCCCUCCACAGACAUAGGUUCUGCCUGUGUCAUCUUCUUGGACUUCCUGGUAUCUAGAACUGUGAGAAAUAAAUUCCUGUUCUUUGUAAGCUA
RNAcentral lists this non-coding RNA (849 nucleotides) under Pongo abelii (Sumatran orangutan). The record is from RNAcentral. Lineage: Eukaryota; Metazoa; Chordata; Mammalia; Primates; Hominidae.